Molecule: non-coding RNA, 502 nt
Organism: Paramuricea clavata
Lineage: Eukaryota; Metazoa; Cnidaria; Anthozoa; Malacalcyonacea; Plexauridae
Source: the annotation of a GenBank genome assembly
AUUAUAAUUUGACAUCCUGAUCAAUUAAAGUUAAAUUAAGAAGCAUAGCGGCACAAACUCGCAAAGCCAAGUGUGUUUGAAAUUGAAAAAUUUCGACCGAUCGCUUCGAACAGAUACUGACAUGAAGCAACGUAAACUUCAAAGGUUUUCCAGAGCAACGUUUUCUCAAAUCCCUGUCUUUACUGUAGAUGUAUUGUUAUACCGAAAUUGGACGCCCUCUUGUACGACCCUGGCUAAAAGCCUGGAUCUAGGGAGUCUUAAAGUCAUCCAAAUUAACUAGACAUACAUAUAUGUGUAUAUUGAUUAGGUACUGUAUAGCAGCACAACUGAGUUCUGUGACCAAAUUAUAAUGUAUCACUACUUUCAUUCUUCAACAAGAUAAUUUCAAGAUUUAAGAUGGCAAAUAACUAAAUCAGUUUCACGAAAUAGUAUACGUCGUUUACGACAACAACCAGGCUAUAAAGUAGACCAGGUUGAGGAAAAAUAACUUCGUUUGAAAGCU